RNAcentral lists this ribosomal RNA (253 nucleotides) under uncultured bacterium. RNAcentral describes it as "partial 16S ribosomal RNA". It matches the Rfam family "Bacterial small subunit ribosomal RNA", at positions 524 to 776 of the family's 1533-position model. The record is from RNAcentral.
UACGGAGGUUGCAAGCGUUAUCCGGAUUUAUUGGGUUUAAAGGGUGCGUAGGCGGGAUAUUAAGUCAGUGGUGAAAGCCUGUAGCUCAACUACAGAAUUGCCAUUGAUACUGAUAUUCUUGAGUGUAUUUGAGGUGGGCGGAAUGUGUAAUGUAGCGGUGAAAUGCUUAGAUAUUACACAGAACACCAAUUGCGUAGGCAGCUCACUAAACUACUACUGACGCUGAGGCACGAAAGCGUGGGGAGCAAACAGG